CCUACGGGGAGCAGCAGUGGGGAAUAUUGGACAAUGGGCGAAAGCCUGAUCCAGCCAUGCCGCGUGUGUGAAGAAGGCCUUCGGGUUGUAAAGCACUUUCAGUGGGGAAGAAAGCCUUGGGGCUAAUACCCUCGAGGAAGGACAUCACCCACAGAAGAAGCACCGGCUAACUCCGUGCCAGCAGCCGCGGUAAUACGGAGGGUGCGAGCGUUAAUCGGAAUUACUGGGCGUAAAGCGCGCGUAGGCGGUCUGAUAAGCCGGUUGUGAAAGCCCCGGGCUCAACCUGGGAACGGCAUCCGGAACUGGCAGGCUAGAGUGCAGUAGAGGAAGGUAGAAUUCCCGGUGUAGCGGUGAAAUGCGUAGAGAUCGGGAGGAAUACCAGUGGCGAAGGCGGCCUUCUGGACUGACACUGACGCUGAGGUGCGAAAGCGUGGGUAGCAAACAGGAUUAGAUACCCGAGUAGUC
This 465-nucleotide ribosomal RNA is filed under the name Vreelandella stevensii. RNAcentral describes it as "partial 16S ribosomal RNA". It matches the Rfam family "Bacterial small subunit ribosomal RNA", at positions 338 to 795 of the family's 1533-position model. The record is from RNAcentral. Lineage: Bacteria; Pseudomonadati; Pseudomonadota; Gammaproteobacteria; Oceanospirillales; Halomonadaceae.